GAUGAACGCUGGCGGCGUGCCUAAUACAUGCAAGUCGAGCGAACAGACGAGGAGCUUGCUCCUCUGACGUUAGCGGCGGACGGGUGAGUAACACGUGGAUAACCUACCUAUAAGACUCGGAUAACUUCGGGAAACCGGAGCUAAUACCGGAUAAUAUAUUGAACCGCAUGGUUCAAUAGUGAAAGACGGUUUUGCUGUCACUUAUAGAUGGAUCCGCGCCGCAUUAGCUAGUUGGUAAGGUAACGGCUUACCAAGGCAACGAUGCGUAGCCGACCUGAGAGGGUGAUCGGCCACACUGGAACUGAGACACGGUCCAGACUCCUACGGGAGGCAGCAGUAGGGAAUCUUCCGCAAUGGGCGAAAGCCUGACGGAGCAACGCCGCGUGAGUGAUGAAGGUCUUCGGAUCGUAAAACUCUGUUAUUAGGGAAGAACAAAUGUGUAAGUAACUAUGCACGUCUUGACGGUACCUAAUCAGAAAGCCACGGCUAACUACGUG
RNAcentral lists this ribosomal RNA (497 nucleotides) under uncultured bacterium. RNAcentral's name for it is "partial 16S ribosomal RNA". It matches the Rfam family "Bacterial small subunit ribosomal RNA", at positions 28 to 507 of the family's 1533-position model. The record is from RNAcentral.